GUCAGUGGGAGGAGGGGAAGGUGGUGCCGAUCAAAAUGGGCGGUUGAUGAAGGAGGGUUAUGCGAUGAUGAAUUACAAUCAUCAAUGCCGGGAGAGCAGCUUGCAUAUACAGCAUGUACGGCAUGCACGGCACGCGACCGCAUUAUUUGUAAGGUGGUUGUGGAUGUGUGUAUAGGAAUGUGUAUGUGUGUGUAUGUGUGUGUAUGUGUGUGUAUGUGUG
Molecule: long non-coding RNA, 220 nt
Filed under: Volvox carteri
Lineage: Eukaryota; Viridiplantae; Chlorophyta; Chlorophyceae; Chlamydomonadales; Volvocaceae
Description: long non-coding RNA (VCAR_LNC002362)
Source: RNAcentral